CCUGGUGCUUUGAGCGCAAGGGAACCACUUCGAUUCCAUCCCGAACUCGACAGUGAAACUUUGCAGCGGCCAAGAUACUACGCGGAUAGCUGCGUGGGAAAAUAGCUCAGUGCCAGGC
Molecule: ribosomal RNA, 118 nt
Filed under: Pleurocapsales cyanobacterium LEGE 06147
Lineage: Bacteria; Bacillati; Cyanobacteriota; Cyanophyceae; Pleurocapsales
Source: RNAcentral